AUUGAACGCUGGCGGCAUGCUUUACACAUGCAAGUCGAACGGUAACAGGUCUUCGGAUGCUGACGAGUGGCGAACGGGUGAGUAAUGCAUCGGAACGUGCCCAGUCGUGGGGGAUAACGCAGCGAAAGCUGUGCUAAUACCGCAUACGAUCUAUGGAUGAAAGCGGGGGAUCGCAAGACCUCGCGCGAUUGGAGCGGCCGAUGCCUGAUUAGCUUGUUGGUGGGGUAAAAGCCCACCAAGGCGACGAUCAGUAGCUGGUCUGAGAGGACGAUCAGCCACACUGGGACUGAGACACGGCCCAGACUCCUACGGGAGGCAGCAGUGGGGAAUUUUGGACAAUGGGGGAAACCCUGAUCCAGCAAUGCCGCGUGAGUGAAGAAGGCCUUCGGGUUGU
This 394-nucleotide ribosomal RNA is filed under the name uncultured bacterium. Its description in RNAcentral is "bacterial SSU rRNA". It matches the Rfam family "Bacterial small subunit ribosomal RNA", at positions 30 to 426 of the family's 1533-position model. The record is from RNAcentral.